UUCUUUUAUUGAAUAUUGUGAAUGCGAUGCUUCUUACAAAAUGACUAGGGUCCCUUUAUAUACUAGGGGGAAUCCCAAUAUAGUACAAGUGUAUUUAUUACAAAGAUAUAUGGCUGGUACAUCAUUUAAUGCCACAGUACGGGCUUGAUCUAGCAUAAUAGAUUUGGUCAGCUUUAGUCGUGUGCCUUGGGAACUUCCCAUUGGUCUAUCAUAGCCGCUAAUUUGUAUUGCCUCGAGAUCGAGCGUAUGGAAGCCCUCGGAGCCGGGCCUUGAGCCUUUCGAGAACGGGCUGUAGGACAUCAUAAUGAUCAUAAAAUCGGGCUCUUCGAUUUUAGCCAUAUACAAGGCACAAUCGGGCACUUGGGGCAUAAGCCUCACAGAAGUAAGCCCCACACGUGAGACUCAGGGUGUUUUGCACUGUCUUACCCAAGGGCAAGUCUCGGGCGAGUCCCGAGCGUUGAGCGUUAGGCAUAUUUAGAAGGCACAAUCGAGCGCUUAGGUCAUAAGCCUCACAGAAGUAAGCCCCACACGUGAGACUCAGGGUCUUUUGCAAUAUCUUGCCCAAGGGCGAGCCUCGGGUGAGUCGUAAAAAAGCCUUUUAAAACACUAGUCAUAUAUGAGAAUUAUUUUUAACCCGAAAUAUACUCAUAUAUUUAAGAUAAAAUUAUUUUACUGGCGCUUAUUUCGUAAUUUUAGUUAUUUAUCUUAACCUUGGCCUCAAACAAUAAUGGCUUUUCUAAAAAUUGAGCAACAACAAGUUAUUAUCAUAGUAACAAAAAUAGAAAAUAUCGAAGAAUGUUUUUACGUUGCAUGAUAUGCAUUGGUUCAUAUAAGUUAAGUACAGGCAGAAGGAAAUGCCAAAGGAAAAAUAAAGCAUUAGAAAGGGAGGACAUUAAGGAUCACACCACACAUAUUUGCAUUCACCUCCUACGAAAUGGCAUUUCCCCCAUUUCACCCUACUCACCACCACCACCGUAAUUUUUUUCCAUUUUUGCUUUUCUUCCUCAAUGAUUUAGUGCAUAUAGUAAGCAAAGAUGGACAAGAGUGUGGCUCCAAUCAAAGUUCCCACAGCGGGCAAAGCGACAGCAGCAUCGCUGGUUGGCGACGGAGCCGGGGCGUCACUUGGGCUCAUUUGAGCCAUGGCAGCGCUCAUGGAGGCUGCGGCAACUAGGGCGGCACAAGUGAUCUUCUUCAUCUCCAUAGCGAAAGUUGAUCAGACGAGCUGAAAUAGAGAUAAGGCGAAAAUUAACGUCUCAACGGAAAGUUGAGAUGUAAUCGCCGAAUUUUCCUUGCCUGCCUUGUU
This 1303-nucleotide long non-coding RNA is filed under the name Nicotiana tabacum (common tobacco). RNAcentral's name for it is "long non-coding RNA (NTAB_LNC001346)". The record is from RNAcentral. Lineage: Eukaryota; Viridiplantae; Streptophyta; Magnoliopsida; Solanales; Solanaceae.